CUCGCAAAUGACAAUCAUAUAUACAUCCAAGCAAACACUCAGUGGGAAGACACAGAAAAGAACAUCAUGCAUCGGCCGGCUCGCGGCCGGCUGAUCUUUUGAAAAGAUCAGAUAGAAUGAGCGCAAACAAUGAUCAAACUGACAUCCGUAUGGACCGUAUCGUCAUGAACAACCAUACAUAAAUUUCGUCACCCGUAAAUGACUAUCAUAUUUACAUGCAAGCAAACACGAAAUACCUGUAGACACUCAUACCUCGUCCGGACCAAGAACGAUGAAGCCGGCCGAAAGAGCAGACCUCUCGAACCUAUUAUUCUCGUAGUGCAAACACGUAGCACGAAGACGACGCUGAUCGACACUGGACGCCUCCGUUCAUGAUAUACCAUAACUAGCUACGAAAGCAGGGCAUGCGUGCAUGCAUAUACUACCUAGCCCACGUAACCGACCGACCGACGAAUUACGGCGGACCCGUAGUAUUGUACGGCCCAUCGCCCUGGUGACCAUGACCGGGGCCAGGGCUAUGACCGGGAGUCGUCUCCUUGUCCAUGGGCUCGACGGCGGGGAAGCUGCUGACGCCGUCGCUUCCCUCGGAAGCCCUCUCCGGAGCCGUGGUUGCCACUCCGCCCCUCGCGCAGUGAACUACCCCCGGCAUGGAGAUGGAGUGCGCGACCAGGAGGAGGGCGAUGGCCAUGGCGGCAAAGGUCGAAGCAGACGAUGAUUUGUUGGCCAUAUUGAACUUGGCAAGACUAGUCGCUACUAGGUUAUUGGUAUGAGCGUGAGUCGAGUGUUGAGAGGGUGGAGGCGUUCAUUUGGUGCCUUAUAUAGACGUCUGGUGAAGUGGUGAUUACGGAAGCUUAUUGAUUUUUGUUAGUGACGAUGCAAAAGUGUUAGCACAUGCAUGCAAGCACACGAUGCUUCUUUUCAUGAGAUGAUAAAC
This 934-nucleotide ribosomal RNA is filed under the name Triticum aestivum (bread wheat). RNAcentral describes it as "partial small subunit ribosomal RNA". The record is from RNAcentral. Lineage: Eukaryota; Viridiplantae; Streptophyta; Magnoliopsida; Poales; Poaceae.